This 448-nucleotide ribosomal RNA is filed under the name uncultured bacterium. RNAcentral's name for it is "bacterial SSU rRNA". It matches the Rfam family "Bacterial small subunit ribosomal RNA", at positions 329 to 793 of the family's 1533-position model. The record is from RNAcentral.
UGCCAGACUCCUACGGGAGGCAGCAGUGGGGAAUAUUGGACAAUGGGGGGAACCCUGAUGCAGCGACGCCGCGUGGGUGAAGGAGUCUUUCGGUAUGUAAAGCCCUAUCAGCAGGGAAGAACAAUGACGGUACCUGACUAAGAAGCACCGGCUAAAUACGUGCCAGCAGCCGCGGUAAUACGGAGGGUGCGAGCGUUAUCCGGAUUUACUGGGUGUAAAGGGAGCGUAGACGGUUCUGCAAGUCUGAAGUGAAAGCCCGUGGCUUAACCGCGGAACGGCUUUGGAAACUGUGGAACUGGAGUGCUGGAGAGGCAAGCGGAAUUCCUAGUGUAGCGGUGAAAUGCGUAGAUAUUAGGAGGAACACCAGUGGCGAAGGCGGCUUGCUGGACAGUAACUGACGUUGAGGCUCGAAAGCGUGGGGAGCAAACAGGAUUAGAUACCCCAGUAC